CACCACACAAGGUAGAGCGCUAGCUCGUUCACACCUAUUCACGCUCCCUUUCGGCGCCUCACAGGAAUGCAGUCCAAAGGCGUCGAAACGGGUGGUUACAAGCCUUCCUUACGGGUUGACAUCGGCUCAGCCGACAACGCCAAGGAGGAGUCGGCAAACGUUACGGAAGGUAGCCCUCAAAAAGUAAUAACCCCGCAUGUAUCCACAAACAUAUUCGUGGCCGGCAUUCCGUCCACGUGGGACGAUGACGCUCUGCGAGAACGCUACAAAGAGUUUGGCGAGAUUGUAUCGACAAAAGUAGUCAAGAACCGCCACUUUGGCUUUGUAAUGUUUCGGAGAGCGGAGUCUGCGCACGCCGCGAUCAACGCCACACACCUGACGCAGCCAACUCCCAACUGCGGCACUGUCCUGCACGUUUCUAUCGCCAUGCACGACGAGGGACUCGAUGAUCAGCCAAACGACCGCCUUUUCAUUCGCGGGCUGCCGCAAUGGGCGACGAAGGAGCACCUUCGACAGAUGUUCUCGCCUUACGGUGUCAUUACCGAGUGCGCGGUUCUCAUGAACCCCCUGGGGCAGUGCAAAGGAUCUGGCUUUGUUCAGUUUUCCUCACAGCAAGAAGCCACUGCCGCCAUCAAGGCGCGGGACUCCAUUAGCAUGGACAGUUGGCCCCACCAACUCGAGGUGAAGUACUCAGAGUCGGCCGAGGUGCGGCAGAUGCGGCAAGAGCGCAACCGCAAUCGCCAGCGGCACUGGCUGCCGUCACCACAGUAUCGCGGCGGCAACACCCCCAGCUCCCUCCCUUCGCCCUACCCAGGGUUUUCGCCGCCGCUCUCCCUCAUUCCGUCUCCGCAGGCGUUUCCAGUCAUGAACGCGAUGCCGUUUCCGAUGGUGUACCCACCAGCACCAGCCACCACGGGUGCCCCGACGCAGAUCGUCUACCCUCAGCCGAUCUACCAGACCAUACCACCCUUCUACUCGGCAUCUGCAGUGCCUAUCCCAGCACCGAUUCCGCUUCCUCAAAAAGGCGACCUGCACUUUAGCGGCCCGCCGUUGACAGAGGAGUUGCUGCGUCUUAUGCUGCAGUCCUACGGCGAGGUGGAGGCAGUCAAAAAACUAGAUAAUGACACCGGCAUCGCGGUGCGCCUGCGAGACGUGACGAAGCACGCGCUGGUGGUGCAACAACUAAACGGCUCGCUCUUCCCAACUGGGCAGUUGUUGGCGGUCGGUAUUUACGCUUAGUGCGCACUUCUUUUAUUUUCCUGAGCGAGCACGAAGAAGGAAGCACAGCAGCGGGAGCGCCAGCGCGCACGCGUUCGCUAGCGCAGGCACGAAUACGCGUGGCGGGAGUGCUACUGGCAACACAAAAAAAAACCAUUGUUGUGUGGAAAUGGAAAUGGUAAACGUGGAGCUCACCUACAAGGGAGAAUAGUGAACAAGCGGAUGGUCGCUUCUCUACCGAAGCGCAAAGGAUUGAGAGGGACACGUGAUGUUCCUGAUAAUAUAAUCGCCAGUGCCGACAAGAAGGGGCCGGCCAGGCUUGUCUUGAUGAAUUCGCAGGCGUGCGUGCGCGUGCGUGGACUAACGGGUGGGUUGCAGAGUGGGCUUCUUCACGUGCGAGUAGCGAAAAGAGCGACAGCGAUGUAGAAGGAGAGGGCGUGCGUGCGCCUGUGAUGCAGGAUGCCGCAGUUGGCUGAGGCGUCACCUCAGUGAUCUCUUCUUUCGCCCUGCUUGCUUUUUGUGCGCACAUGUGUGUGUGUGUGUGUGUAUGUUUAUGUUUAUGUGUAUGUGUAUGUGUAUGUGUAUGUGUGUGUGCAUCGUGUUGCUGCGCCGUUACCCCGAACAGUUCUCGCGGCUUACAUGCGUAAGGCUGUCACACGCAUUACCAACGCAGCGUUGCGAUGCACGCAGACUCGUAACUCGUUUCUUCAGAAGGAUGAUUGCAAGCAUUCACGCGGAGUUUUUUUUGUCUGUUUUUGUUGGAGGGGCUCUGACCAAUGCGUCACACCGUAGGCAACGCCUCUUUGCCACUGCUACCACCACACAUCCCCCUCUCGUUGGUUUUCUCUCGUCCGGCUCCCUCUUAACUGGAGCGUCUCGCUCGUUCUUUCCCUCCUCCUCUUUUUCAUCUUUUCGCUCUUCACCUUAUUGUUAAGCUGUGUGCAUAUCUGUUUGUCUCUCCGCGAGUCGACGCGUUUGUGGUGCACCGUUGUAGGCGACUGAGGGGAGAGAAGGACUCCAAGAAGAGGGUUAGGCCCCUCUGCUUUGUUUAUUUUUUUUCUGUUCACGUCUACUUUUGCUCCGAAAUAUAUAUAUAUAUAUAUAUAUAUAUAUAUACAACUGAAAACGAUCAACGGAAUCUUGGCAACAUCAGUCAGCAAAGACGGUGGCACGCUCGGGACCGCAGAGUGUCACUUCUGACAAUAAUAAUGCUGCAUGAUGCAGUACGGGCAGCCGUACCGCUUACCGCGCAUGCGACAUCCCCGUCACCUCUCCAUGGCGCCUUCUUUUGCCGCGCGUGCGUCUCUCCUUUCCUCCCAGCUUCGGGCGAUGACGGAGUGAUGCGAUAACAGCAUUCGUACUGCUCCGGAGAAGCACACGACCUUCCCUUGAGAAAGCGCUUGUUUCAGCAGCCCUUUUUACCUCCUCCGCGCCGCCUACGUCGAUCCAUCAACUCGGUUUGCCUAUAACUCUCUCUUCCUCUGCGUUUGUGUCCGCCAUUCUCCGCGUCUCUACGUUUCUUCUCUUCCAAUGGUGGCGAAG
RNAcentral lists this unclassified non-coding RNA (2760 nucleotides) under Leishmania donovani. RNAcentral describes it as "gene:LdHU3.34.6570(CDS-product:Double_RNA_binding _domain_protein_7)". The record is from RNAcentral. Lineage: Eukaryota; Euglenozoa; Kinetoplastea; Trypanosomatida; Trypanosomatidae.